This 440-nucleotide ribosomal RNA is filed under the name uncultured bacterium. RNAcentral describes it as "partial 16S ribosomal RNA". It matches the Rfam family "Bacterial small subunit ribosomal RNA", at positions 338 to 795 of the family's 1533-position model. The record is from RNAcentral.
CCUACGGGUGGCAGCAGUAGGGAAUGUUGCGCAAUGGGCGAAAGCCGGACGCAGCAACGCCGCGUGAACGAGACGAACGUCGGGGUGGAAAGGGCUGGGAGGGGGGACGAAAGAUGACGGUACCCACAGAGGAAGCACCGGCUAACGCCGUGCCAGCAGCCGCGGUAAUACGGAGGGUGCAAGCGUUGUCCGGAAGCAUUGGGCGUAAAGAGUUCGUAGGCGGUAUGUUAAGUCUGGUGUUAAAUGCAGAAGCUCAACUUCUGAUCGGCACUGGAUACUGGCAAACUAGAAUGCGGUAGAGGUAACGGGAAUUCCUGGUGUAGCGGUGAAAUGCUUAGAUAUCAGGAGGAACAUCGGUGGCGUGGGCGCUUUACUGGGCCGUAAUUGACGCUGAGGAACGAAAGCCCGGGUAGCACAUGGGAUUAGAUACCCUAGUAGUC